Symphalangus syndactylus (siamang) is the source of this 977-nucleotide long non-coding RNA. RefSeq lists it as uncharacterized. The record is from RefSeq and is a predicted model, not a curated record. NCBI's taxonomy places the organism in Eukaryota, Metazoa, Chordata, Mammalia, Primates, Hylobatidae.
AAAAGAGUGAGGAGAAGCCCCCAAUGCUCUUAAAGCCUCAGCCUAGGACUGUCACCUCUGCUUAGCUUACUAUCAGUGGGGUGAGGAAAUAUACAUCACCUUUUGUGGAAGGAAUGUCAAAGUCAUACAGCUAAAGAUGUGGAGACAGGGAAAGCUUGGCAGGCUCUAGAGAGACUGACCUCUGCAGAUGGUUUAAAGCGAGAAGCUCAAGGUCCACAGUUCACAGGGCUGCCAAUCAGGCCUGUGCAGAAAACUCAACAGUCUAAAAGGAUAUACGAAGACAGAACCUCAACCUAGAAGAAAUGGACAAAUUCCCAGACACAUCAAGGAAUUCCUAGACAACCUAUCAAAACUGAAUCAUGAUUAGAUAGAAAAUCUGAACAGACCAAUAUAAGUAAAGAGAUUAAAGCAGUAAUAAACUCUCCCAUUAAAGAAAAGCUCAGGACCUGAUGCCUUCACUGCUGAAUUCUACCAAACAUUUAAAGAACUAAUACCAACCAUUCUCAAACUCUUUUUAAAAAUUGAAGAUGAGAGAACACUUCCAAAUUCAUAUCACGAGGCCAGCAUUACCCUGACUCCAAAGCCAGACAAAGACACUAUAAGAAAAGGCAAUUAGGGACCAAUAUCCCUGAUAAACAUGGAUGUAAAAAUCCUCAUCAAAAUACUAGCAAAUGAAAUUCAACUGCAAAUUUAAAAAAGCAUUCACCAUGAUCGAGUGGGAUUUAUCCCUGGGAUGCAGGAAGGUUCAACAUACACAAAUCCAUAAACGUGAUACACCACAUCAACAGGAUGAAGGACAAAAUCUUUAUAAUCUCAAUAGAUGCAGGAAAAGCAUUUCACAGAAUUCAGCACCCUUUCAUGAUUAAAAAAAAAAAACUCAACAAAAUGUAGAAGGACUGUACCUCAACACAAUGAAGGCCAGAUAUGACAAACCCACAGCUAACAUUCUCAACAGUGAAAAGUUAAAAGCUUUUCUU